AUGAAGGAAGCUCGUGUUGAAGCCCAGGGCACUCGCCAGGAGAUCCAAGAGGCGAGACAGAUAGCGGCUGGCACAUUUGCGGAUCUGUCGAGGAGUAUUGCUGACGCCGCCGAGUUCUUCCACGCCGAAGAGGGGAGCUCAACGAAGAAGCUAUUCUGGUCGCAGUACCUUGCACCAAAGUAUCCGGCGCCCCUCAGCGAUCAGCUGAAGCAGCUAACGGAGUUGCAUAGGGUGGCCCGACUAGCCAUGAAAGACGUGAUAGUCCGUCUUUGGCCAGCCGAGCCCAUACCCAGCAGCUACUUUGGACUUGUGAAGCGGCUGGUCAAGGCGCGUGUUGCUCAAAACGCUUUUGGAGCCCCGGUUCUAAGUUGUAAAGCAUGCCGCACCGGACGAGGGAGUAAUCAUCAGCACGAGACUGCCAAGCGUUCACAACGUCUUGGUUCUCUGGGGUGGGAGCUUCACCUAGCAGUGCUUCUAAGACAUAAUCUUUCUUUGCAGCUAUGA
Molecule: ribosomal RNA, 504 nt
Filed under: Triticum aestivum (bread wheat)
Lineage: Eukaryota; Viridiplantae; Streptophyta; Magnoliopsida; Poales; Poaceae
Description: partial small subunit ribosomal RNA
Source: RNAcentral